Long non-coding RNA from Equus caballus (horse), 1550 nucleotides. The record is from Ensembl. NCBI's taxonomy places the organism in Eukaryota, Metazoa, Chordata, Mammalia, Perissodactyla, Equidae.
GGAAACCACAGAAAGGAGAUUAGCGGACCAAGGCCUCGGCUUGGUUCCCAAGAGGGAUGUUCUCUAGACCACAGCUGAUUCCACGGACACCAUGGCAACCAGCAGACAGAGAAAGGGAAGGAACUCCCAUGGGCAAACAAGGCCUGGGGACCCUCUCACUUUGUAGCUACGCCCAGGUCCUGCACGGUGUCAUGACCCCAGAAUUAGUGUUUGACAGCUUCUCAGGAACAGCUGCUAUAUCCUACCUGCAGCUUGACGCCUGUUCAGAUGGAAGCAACUCUCUGCAGGCUGCGUCAGGACCUCUUUUCCCAGCUUUACUCCUCCGUCUGGGUUCUUGCACUCACAGGGGAUGGGAGAGGGGUGAGAAAUAGAGCGUUUUUUGAGAACAUAUUCCAACCUCUCGGAUGCACACGUUUUGGAGUCCUGUCCUCAUGUCAAUUGACAGAGAAGAGGACAAAACCUUGCCCCAAAGAAUAAAUCUCCAACGAAGCUGCUCAGAGAUCGAGGCGGGUUAAAGCAGUUCAUGAGGAUCGGGAGGGGUCCCAGGGGCCUUGAAGUCGCCCCACGUGGGCAACUGUCAGUUCUGAAUGUGAGCGCCUCUGCAAUCAACAUACUUUCCUGCCCUCGGAUGCUUUUCGUAAAUUAAACUAGACGAUUCCUCCAAAGCCGGAGCACCGGGCCAGCUCCACAGGAAGAUCCCUGUGACUCCCUGAUCCCUUUAUCCUUCAAAAUAAAACAGACGAACAAAAUAAUGGCAAAUCCACCAUACCUGGUUCCUCCCAAAUGCCCAGUUACCCUCUCCGGUUCUCCGGCUCUGCAGCCACCUUCCUAAGCUCCUGGGCAGAAUCUCUUGAAACUGGGAAGAAGCAUGAUGUCCAGGUCUGAGAUGCGGGAGGCGGGAGAGCGGGGAACAGCUUCUGGGAAGAGGAGAGAGGAAAAUGGAGUGUAAGGCAGUAAUCACAUUCUGGCUUAGCCCUUCCGUAGAAGCCACAGGCAAAGGCAAUGGUCUCUGUUUUCAGUUUCUGCCAUGAAGAAUCACAAGUCUCUGGAGAGGACACAUGUCUCUUAGGUUUACAGAACAUUCAAGAAACAAGGCUGUGAGUUUGGGUCCUAAGUCACGGUGGUCACUUGAAGACGUGGUUCUGGAAGUCGCCAUUUCGCAUUAGCCACAGUCCAGCUUUGCCACAAUCCAGAUUCAAAAGAGACGUAUUCCGGCAAUUCUCUGAGAAACAUACUGCAUAUGUUGCUGCAUUAGAAACUAAGCCAGGCCCCACAGGAGGCCCUAAAGAAAUGGGGCUCAGGCGCGUGCAGACACAAGGGGGUGGUGAGAGCUGUUAUUCGACACGUGCACUCUUCAUCUUCCAAAGGCUGACACGAUUACAGAACGCGAGGGCUGGGAGAGAUCUAAAGUCUUUACACCUAAGGAAAUUGAGGUUCAUGCUGAAGAAAUUGUUUAAAUUUCCCACUUAGCCCCAGGCGCAGACUUCGAGCGUUGAUGGCCUCAGAGAGGAAAAGCUUCUUCCACCCUCUCAGGUUUUGUAGUGGAGCCU